UACGGGAGGCAGCAGGGGGAAUAUUGCACAAUGGGCGCAAGCCUGAUGCAGCCAUGCCGCGUGUAUGAAAAAGGCCUUCGGGUUGUAAAGUACUUUCAGUCGUGAGGAAGGUGUUAAGGUUAAUAACCUUAGCAAUUGACGUUAGCGACAGAAGAAGCACCGGCUAACUCCGUGCCAGCAGCCGCGGUAAUACGGAGGGUGCGAGCGUUAAUCGGAAUUACUGGGCGUAAAGGGCACGCAGGCGGUUAAUUAAGUUGGAUGUGAAAUCCCCGGGCUUAACCUGGGAAUGGCAUUUCAAGACUGGUUAGCUAGAGUCUUGUAGAGGGGGUAGAAUUCCAUGUGUAGCGGUGAAAUGCGUAGAGAUGUGGAGGAAUACCGGUGGCGAAGGCGGCCCCGUGGACAAAGACUGACGCUCAUGUGCGAAAGCGUGGGGAGCGAAACAGGGAUUAGAUACC
This 455-nucleotide ribosomal RNA is filed under the name uncultured bacterium. RNAcentral's name for it is "bacterial SSU rRNA". It matches the Rfam family "Bacterial small subunit ribosomal RNA", at positions 340 to 786 of the family's 1533-position model. The record is from RNAcentral.